This 253-nucleotide ribosomal RNA is filed under the name uncultured bacterium. Its description in RNAcentral is "partial 16S ribosomal RNA". It matches the Rfam family "Bacterial small subunit ribosomal RNA", at positions 524 to 776 of the family's 1533-position model. The record is from RNAcentral.
UACGUAGGUGGCAAGCGUUGUCCGGAUUUACUGGGCGUAAAGGGCGUGCAGGCGGUUUGUUAAGUGCAGGGUGAAAGCUCCCGGCUCAACUGGGAGAGGUCCUUGCAUACUGGCAAACUCGAGGGAGGCAGAGGAAAGUGGAAUUCCCGGUGUAGUGGUGGUAUGCGUAGAUAUCAGGAGGAACACCUGUGGCGAAGGCGGCUUUCUGGGCCUUGCCUGACGCUGAGACGCGAAAGCGUGGGGAGCGAACCGG